RNAcentral lists this ribosomal RNA (244 nucleotides) under uncultured bacterium. RNAcentral's name for it is "partial small subunit ribosomal RNA". It matches the Rfam family "Bacterial small subunit ribosomal RNA", at positions 26 to 286 of the family's 1533-position model. The record is from RNAcentral.
AGAAUCAACGCUGGCGGCGUGCCUAACACAUGCAAGUCGAACGAGAAAGUGGAGCAAUCCACGAGUAAAGUGGCGCACGGGUGAGUAACACGUGACUAACCUACCCUGGAGUGGGGGAUAACUGAGGGAACCUUAGCUAAUACCGCAUAAUACCCACGGGUCAAAGGAGCAAUUCGCUUAAGGAGGGGUCGCGGCCGAUUAGUUAGUUGGCGGGGUAAUGGCCCACCAAGACUGUGAUCGGUAU